GAACAUUAGGGUUCUCUUCAGUUACGGUGGUGGGGCUCACAUUAACAGCUUGCUCAAACGGCUGCGCAACAAAAAGGAUCAAGAAAAGAUGAUAAAUACCAUCGACUCUCUAGUAAAGCCCAAGAAAUUCGACGGCGUCAAUUUGCACUUGGAAGGACCGGGACCGUCGAUAUGCAACAGAGAGCACUUCGACAGAAUUCUCACGUUUAUUAAGAAAUUCCGGUUCAAGAUUAUGCACGUCGAUGACCUCCUAACAAUUCAACUCCCGACCUGCCGCCCCAAAUGUGAUGCUGUAUUGAAAAGUGACCUUGCAAGGUACGUCGACUACAUCUUUCUCAUGACGUUCGAUUACAAACUGGACGAUACUAAGAAGACGAAGCUUACGAGUGGACUCAAUCU
This is a long non-coding RNA of Rhipicephalus sanguineus (brown dog tick), 399 nucleotides long. RefSeq lists it as uncharacterized. The transcript has 3 exons. The record is from RefSeq and is a predicted model, not a curated record. Lineage: Eukaryota; Metazoa; Arthropoda; Arachnida; Ixodida; Ixodidae.